RNAcentral lists this ribosomal RNA (461 nucleotides) under Streptococcus constellatus. Its description in RNAcentral is "bacterial SSU rRNA". It matches the Rfam family "Bacterial small subunit ribosomal RNA", at positions 28 to 465 of the family's 1533-position model. Lineage: Bacteria; Bacillati; Bacillota; Bacilli; Lactobacillales; Streptococcaceae. The record is from RNAcentral.
GACGAACGCUGGCGGCGUGCCUAAUACAUGCAAGUAGAACGCACAGGAUGCACCGUAGUUUACUACACCGUAUUCUGUGAGUUGCGAACGGGUGAGUAACGCGUAGGUAACCUGCCUGGUAGCGGGGGAUAACUAUUGGAAACGAUAGCUAAUACCGCAUAAGAACAUUUACUGCAUGGUAGAUGUUUAAAAGGUGCAAAAGCAUCACUACCAGAUGGACCUGCGUUGUAUUAGCUAGUUGGUGAGGUAACGGCUCACCAAGGCAACGAUACAUAGCCGACCUGAGAGGGUGAUCGGCCACACUGGGACUGAGACACGGCCCAGACUCCUACGGGAGGCAGCAGUAGGGAAUCUUCGGCAAUGGGGGGAACCCUGACCGAGCAACGCCGCGUGAGUGAAGAAGGUUUUCGGAUCGUAAAGCUCUGUUGUUAAGGAAGAACGUGUGUGAGAGUGGAAAGUUC